RNAcentral lists this ribosomal RNA (270 nucleotides) under uncultured archaeon. RNAcentral's name for it is "partial 16S ribosomal RNA". It matches the Rfam family "Archaeal small subunit ribosomal RNA", at positions 477 to 747 of the family's 1478-position model. The record is from RNAcentral.
CUGCAGCCCGAGUGGUGAUCGAUUUUAUUGAGCCUAAAGCGUCCGUAGCCGGACUAGUAAACCCUUGGGUAAAUUGGGCAGCUUAACUGUCCAAAUUCCGAGGGGACUGCUAGUCUUGGGACCGGGAGAGGUCAGAGGUACUCAAGGGGUAGGGGCUAAAUCCUGUAAUCCUUUGGGGACCACCAGUGGCGAAGGCGUCUGACUGGAACGGAUCCGACGGUAAGGGACGAAACCCUGGGGCGCGAACCGGAUUAGAUACCCGAGUAGUCC